GAUGAAGAACGUAGCGAAAUGCGAUAAGUAAUGUGAAUUGCAGAAUUCAGUGAAUCAUCGAAUCUUUGAACGCACAUUGCGCCCCCUGGUAUUCCGGGGGGCAUGCCUGUUCAAGCGUCAUUUCACCACUCAAGCCUCGCUUGGUAUUGGGCAACGCGGUCCGCCGCGUGCCUCAAAUCGUCCGGCUGGGUCUUCUGUCCCCUAAGCGUUGUGGAAACUAUUCGCUAAAGGGUGUUCGGGAGGCUACGCCGUAAAACAACCCCAUUUCUAAGGUUGACCUCGGAUCAGGUAGGGAUACCCGCUGAACUUAAGCAUAUCAAUAAGCGGAGGA
This 331-nucleotide unclassified non-coding RNA is filed under the name soil metagenome. RNAcentral's name for it is "partial contains 5.8S ribosomal RNA, internal transcribed spacer 2, and large subunit ribosomal RNA". The stretch from base 1 to 120 matches the Rfam family "5.8S ribosomal RNA", at positions 35 to 154 of the family's 154-position model. The record is from RNAcentral.